AGAGUUUGAUCCUGGCUCAGGAUGAACGCUAGCUACAGGCUUAACACAUGCAAGUCGAGGGGAAACGAUAUUGGAAGCUUGCUUCCGAUAGGCGUCGACCGGCGCACGGGUGAGUAACGCGUAUCCAACCUGCCCACCACUUGGGGAUAACCUUGCGAAAGUAAGACUAAUACCCAAUGACGUCUCUAGAAGACAUCUGAAGGAGAUUAAAGAUUUAUCGGUGAUGGAUGGGGAUGCGUCUGAUUAGCUUGUUGGCGGGGUAACGGCCCACCAAGGCAACGAUCAGUAGGGGUUCUGAGAGGAAGGUCCCCCACAUUGGAACUGAGACACGGUCCAAACUCCUACGGGAGGCAGCAGUGAGGAAUAUUGGUCAAUGGGCGAGAGCCUGAACCAGCCAAGUAGCGUGCAGGAAGACGGCCCUAUGGGUUGUAAACUGCUUUUAUAAGGGAAUAAAGUUAGUCUCGUGAGACUUUUUGCAUGUACCUUAUGAAUAAGGACCGGCUAAUUCCGUGCCAGCAGCCGCGGUAAUACGGAAGGUCCGGGCGUUAUCCGGAUUUAUUGGGUUUAAAGGGAGCGUAGGCCGGAGAUUAAGCGUGUUGUGAAAUGUAGACGCUCAACGUCUGCACUGCAGCGCGAACUGGUUUCCUUGAGUACGCACAAAGUGGGCGGAAUUCGUGGUGUAGCGGUGAAAUGCUUAGAUAUCACGAAGAACUCCGAUUGCGAAGGCAGCUCACUGGAGCGCAACUGACGCUGAAGCUCGAAAGUGCGGGUAUCGAACAGGAUUAGAUACCCUGGUAGUCCGCACGGUAAACGAUGGAUGCCCGCUGUUGGUCUGAACAGGUCAGCGGCCAAGCGAAAGCAUUAAGCAUCCCACCUGGGGAGUACGCCGGCGACGGUGAAACUCAAAGGAAUUGACGGGGGCCCGCACAAGCGGAGGAACAUGUGGUUUAAUUCGAUGAUACGCGAGGAACCUUACCCGGGCUCAAACGCAGGGGGAAUGCCGGUGAAAGUCGGCAGCUAGUAAUAGUCACCUGCGAGGUGCUGCAUGGUUGUCGUCAGCUCGUGCCGUGAGGUGUCGGCUUAAGUGCCAUAACGAGCGCAACCCCUAUCGACAGUUACUAACGGGUGAAGCCGAGGACUCUGUCGAGACUGCCGGCGCAAGCCGCGAGGAAGGUGGGGAUGACGUCAAAUCAGCACGGCCCUUACGUCCGGGGCGACACACGUGUUACAAUGGCAGGUACAGAAGGCAGCCAGUCAGCAAUGACGCGCGAAUCCCGAAAACCUGUCUCAGUUCGGAUUGGAGUCUGCAACCCGACUCCAUGAAGCUGGAUUCGCUAGUAAUCGCGCAUCAGCCAUGGCGCGGUGAAUACGUUCCCGGGCCUUGUACACACCGCCCGUCAAGCCAUGGAAGCCGGGAGUACCUGAAGCAUGCAACCGCAAGGAGCGUACGAAGGUAAUACCGGUAACUGGGGCUAAGUCGUAACAAGGUA
This 1490-nucleotide ribosomal RNA is filed under the name metagenome. RNAcentral's name for it is "bacterial SSU rRNA". It matches the Rfam family "Bacterial small subunit ribosomal RNA". The record is from RNAcentral.